Molecule: long non-coding RNA, 312 nt
Filed under: Gossypium barbadense (sea-island cotton)
Lineage: Eukaryota; Viridiplantae; Streptophyta; Magnoliopsida; Malvales; Malvaceae
Description: long non-coding RNA (GBAR_LNC023463)
Source: RNAcentral
UUCAAUUAUGAUGAAACAAAAGGAUGAAAUGGAAUGGAAUGAAAAUGAUCUCAAAAACAAACACGAACCAAUAUUAGAAAAUAUUGACCCAAAUGUUUAUAAGUUUUCAAGGUGGUCGGAUGGAGAAUAUGAGAACCUCGAACCGCUACUUAGCAAAGUAGGAACCUUGGUAUGUUUGAACGCCACACUACGAGUAGUGAUAAGUUCAGUUUUCGACAAAGAAAGCGGAUGACACAACUAGAACACUAGGUAGCCAAUGAAUCCUUGAACGAAAAUAGAGAAAAGUUUGCCUCACAAAUUUGGCAGCAUAAC